RNAcentral lists this long non-coding RNA (441 nucleotides) under Homo sapiens (human). RNAcentral's name for it is "HSALNT0016975". Lineage: Eukaryota; Metazoa; Chordata; Mammalia; Primates; Hominidae. The record is from RNAcentral.
CCGGGCGCCCAGGAGGCCCGGUCUCUCCAGGGCGGGCCUCGCUUAAGUUCUUCUUGGCCGCCUCCAGCUCGCUCACAAAGGUCGCCAUUGCUCCGCGUGUCUCAGCCCGACCGCAGACCGCCCGGCCACCGCGAUCAACAACCCAAAAACCAACUCGGCGGAAGGCCUUGGCUCUGGAAGCUAAGCCGGCCGCCGUCAGUCCCGCCCCCAAUCUCUCAGAAGUCGUUUGUUUGGUUUUCGGCUCCGCCCGCCUUUUCGCAGGGAAGGUGCCCGGCCAAACUCUGCUCUCUUCCUCCCGCCCCUCGAGUCACGUGAUCCGCUUCACCUUGUCGCGCGCCCAUCCUAAACCCGCGCGCCCCGCCUCGGCUGCAACGUUGCUGACAGGCUGGCGUGUCCCAAGCUCUUUCAUUCUGUUACCGCUGGGGCAAUUCCGAAUUCAGC